RNAcentral lists this long non-coding RNA (1836 nucleotides) under Bemisia tabaci. RNAcentral's name for it is "lncRNA ENSSSA1NGG006119". Lineage: Eukaryota; Metazoa; Arthropoda; Insecta; Hemiptera; Aleyrodidae. The record is from RNAcentral.
UUCAAAAUUCAGUCCAAUUAAGGUACUAGUGGAGGGUCUCUUGUCUCUGGGGCGCGAACCACGUGAGUGCUUGGUUUUUGUUUUGUUUUCGGUGAUCCAAUCGGCCACCGUUGGCUUGGCUAUAAUUUCUUAGGUUAUGUUAUUGUUUUGGUUUUAACGACAAGUCUUCAGGAGUUUUGAAUGCUGUUAGAAAAUUUUUUGAAUGCUUUUAGAAAUUUUUUUGAAUUAGCAAGAAACAAGGAAAUUUAUGCAGCCAACUUCAUGAUGAAAGUGUCAAGUUUCAUGUUUAGAUCCUGGAGAGGAGCUCAAAAAACAGUAGGUUUCUUUCCUAUCUGUACAUCAUUAGUAUCAUUAGUUCUAUCUUGUAUGCUGUUUUAUUUUUUUCCCCCAUGAAUUAAAGACAAAGUUUAAAAAUCAUUCAUGUCCAGGUCCUAGGAGCUGUUUUCAAGGAUCCUAUCAGAAAAUUCAUAAGAUAGGUACUUGUGACAAAGGUAACUUAGAAUAAAAUUGGACUCUUGCGCAUCAGUUGUAAGUAUAUGGAGAAACAAUCACUCAAUAAAAAAAUGGACUACUCUGCUCCGUAUGAAUUCAGUAGAGCCGGAUAGUUUAAUGCUCGACUAGUGGCGGGAUUGGAGGUGUGAGUUUCUAAAAACUUACGUAAUCUCGCUAUAAAUCCUAGGUCUAUGGCACCAAAUGGUAAUAAAAUCAAUGGCAUCUCACAUCAAAAACCUGAACAUAAUUCAAGGAAACGUAAAAGCAUUUAUGAAGCAUGAAGGUAUCUAAACUGAAAGAAUUUUAGAGGGUAUGCAUGUUCAAAUUUCUUCCAUUCAUUUUGGAAAUAGUGAAUGGAAAUAGUGAAUAGUGCAAUCUUUAUGCUUCAAGUUGUCACAUACAUAGCAUCAGUUUGCUAUUGCAUCAAAUAAUAUUUUUGAAUAUCUCAUCUGAAAACUUUCUUGCAGUAGAGAGAUUUUCCUUGUCAAGUUAGAAAGUCUGUUCAUGCUGGUGUCAAUAGACCAGCAAAGUUUUUUUAUGUGAGAAAUGAUCCUCAGUCGCGUUUCAACUUGUGUGCGGGGCGGUCACUCGUUUGAUCGCUCCCGCUGCGAGUUUCUCUACUUCGCUGUCUAGAAGUGUUUUCUCGGCUCCACCGUGUUAUAUCUCUUUAGAAAUGUGCUACAUACCUUUUACUAUUAGAAACAUUCGUGUGCAACUGAUGGUUUUCAAGAUAUUUAUCGUUAAAGAUCAAAAUCCUUGUGAUUUUAGUGCACCAUCUUGAAUUUUGCCAACUGUGUAUAGUGAUAAGGAAGAGAUAAGUUGCACCCGAGCUGCUUUAUCGAAGUGUUAUCUCUUUCAAUUAACUUGAUAAGAACAUACGCGAAUCGAAUGGGCGAUGUGAGGCCCUGGCGCGGCUGGAAGGAGCGAGAGGGGAAAGGCGCCGCUUAUUACGUUAGUGGAGCGGCUGGUCACCGUCUCUAGGCGUACCUAUUAGAAAUAUAACUGGAUUCAAUCUUUCGGGGUUGGUGGAUUUGGAUCUGGUUUGGCGCUCGGACUCUUCAAACUCUCAAAGGCCAAGGCGGGGAUUAGCAGAUCUCAUGAGAGGGACGUCUCUACCUAGGAGUCGGGAGGCAUGGACGGACGGUCCCAACAUCAACGCAAGGCCAAUACCGGACGGCGGGAUUAGCCCGUGUGCGCCGGUCGGCGAACUUUAGAGACAUUGACCCUUGUUGCCUGCUCUUCUGGGGGGGGUGGCCUUCUGCGUGCGGGUGCGGUGCCCUUCCCUUCGGUGGGGUGCCUUUCCCCCCUUUAUCUGGUGGCAGUCAGUGCAGGUGAUUUGCGCCU